GAUGAACGCUGGCGGCGUGCUUAACACAUGCAAGUCGAACGGGAAACCUUUUAUUGAAGCUUCGGCAGAUUUAGCUGGUUUCUAGCGGCGGACGGGUGAGUAACGCGUGGGUAACCUGCCUUAUACAGGGGGAUAACAGUCAGAAAUGGCUGCUAAUACCGCAUAAGCGCACAGAGCUGCAUGGCUCAGUGUGAAAAACUCCGGUGGUAUAAGAUGGACCCGCGUUGGAUUAGCUGGUUGGUGGGGUAACGGCCCACCAAGGCGACGAUCCAUAGCCGGCCUGAGAGGGUGAACGGCCACAUUGGGACUGAGACACGGCCCAGACUCCUACGGGAGGCAGCAGUGGGGAAUAUUGCACAAUGGGGGAAACCCUGAUGCAGCGACGCCGCGUGAAGGAAGAAGUAUCUCGGUAUGUAAACUUCUAUCAGCAGGGAAGAUAAUGACGGUACCUGACUAAGAAGCCCCGGCUAACUACGUG
This 478-nucleotide ribosomal RNA is filed under the name uncultured bacterium. RNAcentral describes it as "partial 16S ribosomal RNA". It matches the Rfam family "Bacterial small subunit ribosomal RNA", at positions 28 to 507 of the family's 1533-position model. The record is from RNAcentral.